Acanthopagrus latus (yellowfin seabream) is the source of this 1060-nucleotide long non-coding RNA. RefSeq lists it as uncharacterized. The record is from RefSeq and is a predicted model, not a curated record. Lineage: Eukaryota; Metazoa; Chordata; Actinopteri; Spariformes; Sparidae. The transcript is spliced from 3 exons.
UGGAAAGACCACAAUAAAACAGUACAUAAUUGAUCAAGGUGAAAUAUGAGGGACAAAGGGGGGAUUUACAUUUUCAGUGGAAUAAAAGAUUCCCAAGAAAGAAACUCAGUUAUUGUUAUAUUUUGAAAUUGCAUGGAGAUAACUCCACCAGUGUGUGCACACCAAGGUAAGCCGGGAAUAAAGCUUCCAUGAGAGAGAACCAAACGACCACAGAGGUAGUCAUCCAACAAUAUGGGUCUCUGGCAGACAUGGCAGCAGAAGGAAACAAGACACAAGCUUCAGCUGGACAGGGGAUUGUAUGGCACACAAAGAUAUAAGCGGUGCAUGAUAUAGUAUUUUGACCAACUAUGCAUCGGACCAGUCUGAGUGUUUAAACAUUCAUCAGUAGAUCUGGAUCUGUUUCUGAUUGAGCACAGUAUUUUUUUCUGCAAACACUGAUUUGAUCACUAGCAGCGAAAGUCUAGACUGCUAAAGUCUCCUUGAAUAUCAAACAUCUUCAUACCUUUCUUCCUCGCUUGUGGUCGCAGUCUCAGAGUGCUCUUCCGGUCAUCCACCCUGAAGCGUGUCCUCUGCACCUGUUCCGGCUUUAUCAGCUCCCGGGUCACACACCGCGGCGGUCAAAGGCCCGAUCAGCUCCGCACACACACGUCCUCUGUUUGAGGGACAGCGACUGAACAAGGUUCCUCGUCGUGCAGUCUCUGGCCUCCGCGCUCAGCCUCACACAGGUCAGGUGUGAGAGAAUGUGCCAGCUCUCUGACACACCGAGUGUCCGCUCACCUCAGCUCAGAACGUCCUCCACGGCAGAUUUCACAAUGAGUCUUAUCGAGGGAAGUUCCCUGGAAACCUCUCUCUCACUCGGCAGAACUUCAUCAUUGUUUCAUUGUCCACCAGUCUGCAACUUUUACCAUAAAUUCGUUGCCCACAUCAUUGUCACAACCAGGGCCGGCUCGAGGCAUAAGCGAACUAAGCAGCUGCUUGGCCACCAGGGGAACCCCAAUCAAGAAUAUUAUUUAUUUAUUUAUUGAAAUAUUAAAUGAAUUAAACAAGUGACAUAAAUGAA